This 250-nucleotide ribosomal RNA is filed under the name uncultured bacterium. Its description in RNAcentral is "partial 16S ribosomal RNA". It matches the Rfam family "Bacterial small subunit ribosomal RNA", at positions 526 to 775 of the family's 1533-position model. The record is from RNAcentral.
CAGAGGUCCCAAGCGUUGUUCGGAUUCAUUGGGCGUAAAGGGUGCGUAGGCGGCGUCAUAAGUCGGAUGUGAAAUCCCGGGGCUCAACCCUGGAACUGCAUUCGAUACUGUGGUGCUAGAGGACUCUAGAGGAAACUGGAAUUCACGGUGUAGCAGUGAAAUGCGUAGAUAUCGUGAGGAAGACCAGUGGCGAAGGCGGGUUUCUGGAGAGUUCCUGACGCUGAGGCACGAAGGCCAGGGGAGCAAACGG